CUAGAAUGGAAUCCCGGUCUCCACGUGCUGGCUGAGGAAAAGGAGGAGGAAGAGGAGGGAAAGGGCCUAUGACCUAUAUCUUCAAGUAUUCUCAGGACUCCAAAAUGAGGCCUCCUUUUUCUAACCGCGGGCUGAAGUGGUUCAUUACUGCUGUUUCCUCCGCCAGGCCAGGGCUCAGCCAUUCCCACUACUGAAGUUCCACAAGGGGCGAAAAUCCUUGUCGUGGGUAAAGUUUCCCUGGCUGUUGGAGGAAGGCAGCUCACGGGGACUCAAACAGUUCGACUUCCUUUGUUAGGAGGCUGAGUACCAGGGCCAAGCUGGGAAAUUAAAGAUUAAGUUCAUUAAGUCAACAGGCCCCCACCCAAGGAGAGACCGGACGCCCCGCCGGGAAGCAGGUGGAAGAGAAGGCAACGCAGGCUCCGGAAAGGAAAGAUCCAGUCCUGUGGGCCCUGCUCGCCUCCGCCUCCACCGCUCGCCGCCACGUCUAAGCUCCCUCCUGGCCUGGUCCCCACCUGAGGGGAAGAGCCAGCCCUUGCUGGACGAUGCUCUCCCACCUGAGGCGUGUCUCGGGUCUCUGUUGGUGCAGAAGAGCACGUUGGAUGCCCCACGUACGGGAGGCAUUGGACUCUGUCCUCUCUGAAAUCUGGUGAUUGAGCUUCCAGUCAGGGAGUUUGUCAAACGCUCUCCUUCCCCAGUCGCUUGCCUCCUCAGGAACUGACUACUUUGGAAAUCUGGGCGGCCUGUCUUUCAAUUCCUUCUUCUGGGGUGGGGGAAUCAAACAAAACCAAACACACCCUCCCUCCCCAAUACACACACUCACACACACACACAUCCUACUCACACAGAUACACUCUCUCUGCUUUGUUAUUUCAAACUGUGUUUGUCUUUGUGAGGGAGAGCUCCUCCCUGCCCCUUCCCUAACUUGGAGACCCACAGAUACUUUAAAAAGAAACAAGUGGAAAGCAGUGUCCUGGACUUUCUGGUGAGCAUGGGGUCCAUCCCUGGCGAUUUGUUUGAGAGGAGGAAGGCGGACAGGGAGGUGCCCAGAGUGUGGCCAAAUGGCUGAAAAAAAGUGUCUGGUGCAAGUGUUCAAGAAAACCAUUCCCACACAAGCCUCCCUGCCUUAUUUCCCCCCAUGUCUUGGGCAGAAGAAGAAAGGUCUUCUUUACUUUUGGUGGGGUCAGUAGUUCCAUUUCUGCUGAGGAGCUGAGAAAUGCUGUCAGCCUUGGAGAUGUCUUUGAUAACAGAGAUCCUGAAAGAGAAGCGCUUGUUUAUUUGCAUGAUAGGGUCACUUAUUAUACAAAAACUCACCAGCUUUCUUUUCUUUCCCCUCCUGCCCUCCCUCCAGCCCCCCUCUGAGGAAAAUAAACAGUGUCAUAAUGAUUUUGGUAAAUAGAAUUCUUUCUAAAGCCACCUAAUCGUGGGGAGACAUUCUGAGAAGACCCUAGGAUUUAGUUGAGUGUUGAUGUGUGAAAAAAAAAAAAAAAAAAGAAGAAGAAGAAGACUAAAUUUUAGAGAUAUUUUAAUACACACUCGCACGCACACCCACAGCACACGGCUCGGUGAAAAGCUUUCUCCGGAGUUGAGAAUAAGCGUGUUUUGAAACCUUCAGAUUCCAUCAUGCUGUCAUACUUGUUGUUAUUUACUUUUAUUUACUUUUUUUUCUUUUAUUUACUUUUAAAGGGAAGGUUGCGGUGGAAUGUUCACUUCCCUUAGGCUGCCAGGCGUCUGUACCGUGGAGUGAAACGGAGAGGCUUUUAGUUCUUUUCGUAGAUUGUAUCAGAGAAGUUUUUGAAUAAAACAUUCUCAGUGUAAUGUGUUUAUUGGCUCGGACAGAACGAGAAAUAAUUCUGAAGCGAGCAGGCAACGUGUACCAAAGUUCUCGGUGUUUUUCUCCUCUUGUGAUUGUGUCAGGGUUUCUUUUUAUUUAUUUCUAUAAAGUGUCCUUUGUCCUUGAGAAUGUUGAAUAGACUUCUUUCAAAAGUUAUCAGAGACCGGUCUGAUAAAUCAGACGAGAAAUUAGGAACAUCUGAGUUAUUUUCUAAG
Long non-coding RNA from Canis lupus familiaris (dog), 2046 nucleotides. RefSeq lists it as uncharacterized. The record is from RefSeq and is a predicted model, not a curated record. The transcript is spliced from 5 exons. Lineage: Eukaryota; Metazoa; Chordata; Mammalia; Carnivora; Canidae.